This 990-nucleotide ribosomal RNA is filed under the name uncultured bacterium. Its description in RNAcentral is "bacterial SSU rRNA". It matches the Rfam family "Bacterial small subunit ribosomal RNA", at positions 31 to 1019 of the family's 1533-position model. The record is from RNAcentral.
AGGUAGUGGCGGCGGCUUACCAUGCAGUCGAGCGGGGAAGGGUAGCUUGCUACCUGACCUAGCGGCGGACGGGUGAGUAAUGCUUAGGAAUCUGCCUAUUAGUGGGGGACAACAUUCCGAAAGGAAUGCUAAUACCGCAUACGCCCUACGGGGGAAAGCAGGGGAUCUUCGGACCUUGCGCUAAUAGAUGAGCCUAAGUCAGAUUAGCUAGUUGGUGGGGUAAAGGCCUACCAAGGCGACGAUCUGUAGCGGGUCUGAGAGGAUGAUCCGCCACACUGGGACUGAGACACGGCCCAGACUCCUACGGGAGGCAGCAGUGGGGAAUAUUGGACAAUGGGCGAAAGCCUGAUCCAGCCAUGCCGCGUGUGUGAAGAAGGCCUUUUGGUUGUAAAGCACUUUAAGCGAGGAGGAGGCUACUGAGAUUAAUACUCUUGGAUAGUGGACGUUACUCGCAGAAUAAGCACCGGCUAACUCUGUGCCAGCAGCCGCGGUAAUACAGAGGGUGCGAGCGUUAAUCGGAUUUACUGGGCGUAAAGCGUGCGUAGGCGGCUUUUUAAGUCGGAUGUGAAAUCCCUGAGCUUAACUUAGGAAUUGCAUUCGAUACUGGGAAGCUAGAGUAUGGGAGAGGAUGGUAGAAUUCCAGGUGUAGCGGUGAAAUGCGUAGAGAUCUGGAGGAAUACCGAUGGCGAAGGCAGCCAUCUGGCCUAAUACUGACGCUGAGGUACGAAAGCAUGGGGAGCAAACAGGAUUAGAUACCCUGGUAGUCCAUGCCGUAAACGAUGUCUACUAGCCGUUGGGGCCUUUGAGGCUUUAGUGGCGCAGCUAACGCGAUAAGUAGACCGCCUGGGGAGUACGGUCGCAAGACUAAAACUCAAAUGAAUUGACGGGGCCCGCACAAGCGGUGGAGCAUGGUGGUUUAAUUCGAUGCAACGCGAAGAACCUUACCUGGGUCUUGAACAUAGUAAGAACUUUCCAGAGGAUGGAUCUGGU